UUAGGUAGUUGGUAGUGGUAAAAGCCUACCAAGCCAGAUCUUUAGUUGAUUUGAGAGAAUGAUCAACCACAUUGGGCCUGUAAAAUGCCCAACUUUCUUUUUGAUAGCAGCAGUGAGGAAUAUUGGACAAUGAGCGAAAGCUCGAUCCAGCAAUAUCACAUAAAUGAUGAAGGUUCGAUGAAUUGUAAAGUUUAUUUACUAAGGAGGAUGAUGACGUUACUUAGUAAAAAGCCCCGACUAACUUCGUGCCAGCAGUCGCGGUAAAACGGGGGGGGCAAGUGUUACUCGUCGUAAUUGGGCGUAAAGGGUACGUAGGUUGUUUUUUUAAUUAGGUAUUAAAUGUAAAAGCUAAACUUUUAGUAAGUAUACUAAUAUGAUUAAACUUGAGUCUAAAAAAGGAUAGUAGUAUUUUUAGUGGAGAGGUAAAAUUUGUAGAUAUUAAAAAGACUCGCACUCGGCGUAGGCGACUAUCUAGGUUAGUACUGACACUGAGGUACAAAAGUAUAGGGAGCAAAUAGGAU
This 521-nucleotide ribosomal RNA is filed under the name Symbiodinium sp. clade D. RNAcentral's name for it is "partial Bacterial small subunit ribosomal RNA". It matches the Rfam family "Bacterial small subunit ribosomal RNA", at positions 241 to 778 of the family's 1533-position model. Lineage: Eukaryota; Dinophyceae; Suessiales; Symbiodiniaceae. The record is from RNAcentral.